This 253-nucleotide ribosomal RNA is filed under the name uncultured bacterium. RNAcentral's name for it is "partial 16S ribosomal RNA". It matches the Rfam family "Bacterial small subunit ribosomal RNA", at positions 524 to 776 of the family's 1533-position model. The record is from RNAcentral.
UACGUAGGGUGCAAGCGUUAAUCGGAAUUACUGGGCGUAAAGCGUGCGCAGGCGGUGAUGUAAGACAGUUGUGAAAUCCCCGGGCUCAACCUGGGAACUGCAUCUGUGACUGCAUCGCUGGAGUGCGGCAGAGGGGGAUGGAAUUCCGCGUGUAGCAGUGAAAUGCGUAGAUAUGCGGAGGAACACCGAUGGCGAAGGCAAUCCCCUGGGCCUGCACUGACGCUCAUGCACGAAGGCCAGGGGAGCAAACGGG